This is a non-coding RNA of Triticum urartu, 2796 nucleotides long. The record is from RefSeq and is a predicted model, not a curated record. NCBI's taxonomy places the organism in Eukaryota, Viridiplantae, Streptophyta, Magnoliopsida, Poales, Poaceae.
GGCCCGGUACAGCCCGCCAAGCCCGCUAAAGCCCGUCUAGCGACUCCCGUAUAAAACCUAACCCUAAUACCUUGUUCCUCGGCCCGUGGCUAGACCCUACUCCCGAUUCCCCAUCGUCUCCCACGCAUCGCCGCCACCCACCAUCUGUUCGCCUCCGUCCUCUUGCAGCUCGCCGCCAGCCCUCCCCCUUCCCUCCUCCUACCUCGCAACUCCGGCAGCUUCCAGAUCCGCCAGACCCCCACCCAACCAUCCCUCCAGCAACCCAUCUGUCUCUCCCUCAUGCGACCACUCGCGUCGCGACUAACGUCCGCCGAUUCCGGCGACGUCGGCCACCACGUAACACACUCACGACCUGGUCUCCGACCUCUCCGUCCUCCAGACCGGCUGGAUCCGCCGAUCCCGGUCUCCGGUGCUCGCCUGCGGGCUCUAUCCCAUGGCUAGGGUUUGGCUGCGGCGUCACGUCCAUCGACGGCGUGUCUCCGGCGGCUCCUCUCCGUCGCACACCGCAGCCCCUCGCGCCCUCUCUGCCUUAUGGAUGGCGCCCCAUAGCUCGGUACGCGCGCGCGCAUUGGGCUCGACGGCAGAGACCCCCGACCUCCUCUUCCGCGUCUGCGGCACGGCCGUGCAUCCUGUGACGACCCCCUCUACUGCGCGACGGCGGUGGCUGACCUGCACUGCCACAGCUGCAUCAUCUACAAGCCUCUUUGUGUCAAAGCAUGUGCUGUCAGUGGCAGCAAAUGUUCAGUUUAGCUACUGCCUGCUGGACCUGUAGAGGUUUAUAUUGUGAUGACAACAAAAGGUAUUUCAUUUUAGUUGGCACAUUUCAAGGACUAGUAAUUUGGUGUCUGAUAUAUGUGUUUUAGUCUUACCAAUGCAAAGAUGAAAAAUAUGUUCCUUUUAUUAUUAUCCAAAGGGUGGUCAGUGUUGCACAACUUCAGGUUUCUAAUGCUAGUUCAUUAAUUCCAAGUAAUAAAUAGAUACUUGUUACUUUAUGCAUGACAAACCUCAGGUACAUCAUGAAGAAACGGAAAGUAGUGUGCGUCUACCCAUUGUACAUUGCUCCUCCUUAGUUCAGUUAGUAUGCAAUUGAAUUAAUUCUUUAAGAAUUUAGUUAGUCAAUUUAGACAUUUGGGAAGGCAUAGUUCUUUAAGAAUUUGGUUCAAUUGAGACAACAUUUGCAUUUCAGUAAUAAUGAAAUGAAACCGCAUAUCCAAUUGUCACACUAAUAUCUUUGCUUUGCACAUUAUAGUCAGUACAUCUUCCACCUGAUCGACGCCAACGACACCGUCCUCGAGCAGAACAGGGUGAGCUUGAUACCCUUCCAUUCUUGAUGUGAAUUAUUCAGGUUGUAGAUUUGAGCUGUUCAAGGUCUGGACUGUUGUGAGUUGUUCAAGGUGUGGACUGUUUUGUGGUUCUAGUGAAAUUAUAACUGUACAGAUAUUUUUGUGUGCAUAAAAUCUGCAUUGGACAAUGUCCCUGAUAUCAUGCAUUGUAUCGACACUCUACUAGACCUGCUACCUCUUGGUGUUCAUGGGUUCCGAUUCUACUUGUAUCUUAACAACCAUUAUUAAUUGCUUUUGCCAUGUAAUAAAAUAACUUGUAGUUCUUGUGCAAGCCGAUGAAAGUUUGCUACGCAUGCACAAGUCUUCCAGUUCUUACUCCUAUCACCUUGUUUACAAAUGUAUUGGUUCAUUUCAUGAUUGUUUCCUGUUAUAAAUAAUAGUACUCUCAAUGCUGAUCAAGUGGUAAACCCCUAGCCCUGAGCAUAUAGAAUCGUUAUGAACAGAAGUAACAUGGAUAAUAGACUAGGUUUUCUACCCAUCCUUGAAUAUAAGCGAAGCAUGAUCAAUUCAAGCCGCGCUUUCCUAACUAUUAGUUCACUGUUUAUCAAGCAUUUUCUUGUUUCAUAGUUCACUACAGUACAGAUUUACAAGUACACAUCUUACUACUCCAGAAAAACUAAGUACUUGUACAGGCACGCACAGCUUCCUCUCACAAAAAACAAACUAAGUGCCUGUCUCUCCCACUUUUGUUCUCAUUUCUUUUAGAGUACAGAAAUGUUUGAUCCUGAUAAACUAAAUACCUGUACAGGCGCACUGCUUCCUCUCAGAAAAUAAACUAAGUACCUCUCUCUAUCACGUUUGUUUGCUUCUUUGAGAAAUCUGUUUGCUAGGCCACAAAAUAGACAGCUCCUUGUUAGCCCAUGCACUUACUAUCUAUUCGGUCGAGAACCGAUGACCUGACCAACCGCUGCUGCUAUUGUUCUUUUAGUUCUGUGGUGUAUGUUUGUUACUUGUUACUUGUAGGCAAAGUUAUAUUGUACUUUCGUUUGACACACUUUUCUUUGGACUAAAUUUUUGAACUUGCAACUGGUCUGAUUGUUUUCAUGUGCGUUGCCCAAAUUUAAGUGGUACCAUAAUAUAGUAGUGGUGUUUCCAUGGAUGAUUGCUUGGAAAAUCAACUAAUGUUAUUACUCUUUGGAUUAAUUUGGGAGCUUGCUUUUAUAACUUAUGGCACCCAAUGUACCGUAAUAUAUGUAGCUGCAGUAGAUGAACUUCAGCUACUCCAGCUGACAUAUAUUAUGGUACAGAGGGAGUAUAAUUUUUAGUUUGUUUUGAUUCUAUGCAGGUCUGGUGGUUAAUCUGUGUUAGUGGAGAUUGAAGGUUUCUAGAUAUGCUUGUGAUGUUUUGAUAUUAAGCUUUGUUUUUCUAAACAGACUAGAUUGUUGGAACUCUGUAUUGUCAUGUAAACAAUUUCUAUUUUUGAAUGAAUAAAAAUUGGUUGUCUUGUUGUGAA